CAUUGUCGAACCCUACCCAGCAGAAUGACUAGAGAA
This 36-nucleotide ribosomal RNA is filed under the name Eucalyptus odontocarpa. RNAcentral's name for it is "partial 18S ribosomal RNA". The record is from RNAcentral. Lineage: Eukaryota; Viridiplantae; Streptophyta; Magnoliopsida; Myrtales; Myrtaceae.